CGUUCCCUUGCUCCGACUCCGCCCUGCGCUACUUUUUCAUCCCUUCUCUUCUGAGCUCUCCGUGCUUUUCCUUUGGCUCCCCGCACUGCUCCACGCCAUCUCCUUCAGCGGGCUUUUACGCCGUCUCUCCACGCGUCUUCUGUUGCGCCCGUUUUGCACUUAGGAUCUCCAUUCUUUCCCUUCGACUCUUUCACUUUCUCUCGCCUGUUCCGUCCGCCUGUAGCCCCCCUCCUUCCCUCCCCCUUCCCCGAACCUGCGGACAACGUCGAAAGGAAAGGGGAAAAACCGCCAAUACGGAAAGCGGAUUUACCUUCCAGGCCGGCUGGCCAAGAACCAGAAGAACAGAGAACGACACUGACGGACAGGAGGCUUCAACAACUCCCUCUCCUCCUCCUUACUCCUUUUCCUUCCUUCACCUUUUUUCUGAUGCGCUCUGCUCUGCCCUGAUGAUGGAAGGGGGGGUGCACACCUCUCAGCGCGUGGUACCUCAGGGCCUCGCGCACCCCUACUCGGUGGCAGGAAGCCAAGCAGCCCUUUUCUAUCCCUGCCAAUGCAGAACCCACCUCUGGCGGUGCGUCGGGACGGCCGACGACAGUGAACACGUCUGUGCCAUCCAUACGAUGGGCAGCACGCGUCAGGGUGACUCGAGCGUAUGCCUCACACGGCCCUCACACGGCCCACUGAUGUGUGGGGAGGAGCCUGUGUGCCACCCCGAGGGAGGGGGAAGGGGGGAUGCACCAGGCGUGGCGACCGGCAUGAUUGGGGGGCGGCUGUGUGGGGUGGGGGAGUAGAGCUUGAGACAGAGAUGGUGUACAGGUCGCUGAGUCGGCGCAUUUGCUGUAGCACACGUGUGUGUCUGCGGUUUGCUUCGCACCACGCGGAUGGGGCCUGGUGACAGGGCCGGGCCGAAUGUAGAGUUGAGCUCAUGUUCUGAGGCAGAGUGGGCACGUUGAGGGGUAAAACAACAACACACAUCUACAUGGAAGCAUGCGCUUACGUUUCUCGUGUGGUCUCACACGAUCCGCCGUCUUCUCAAUCAGAGGGUCCUCUAUUUCCGCUAAACACCACGCCAGGCGCGCAUACACACACAUACACACAAUAACAGCGUGCCAGCACUCUCCUUCUUUUUUCUCCCACUCCUCGCCUCUGUCGUUGCGGCGCCUGUGUCAGUGCGCCCUUCUUAGUUCGUGUGUGUGUGUGCUCUGUUUUUUCCCUUCCCCCGACUGCGGUAAAGAACAUAUAUAUAUAUAUAUACGUUGGUGUGCAUAUAUAUGUGUAGUUGCGUAUAGACUCUCUGUUUCUGUUCAGCGCAAACAGAUGCCACUUCGACGACAGCACUCAACGUCGACGUCAUCUUUUUCUCCCUCUCUCCUUGGCCACCCUCCUUUUUCCCCCGCCCUUGUGCGCACGUAUGUGAGUGACUGCCGUGGGGUGCUUGAGUGUGUUGUGGAGGUGCGUGCGUACGUGUGUGUAGAGGGAGGGAGGGGGGAAGCACGGCGGACUGCACUGUUUCACCUUCACCAAUGCUUGCUUGUCAAUGUGUGGUGUCGUGUGCACUCCUAUAGCACAUGCUGAUGCGUCUCCCCCCUCCUCCUCGCCCCCGCGCCCGGGCACCCUUUCUCAUUCUCCCCCCCUCUUUUGCAGUGCGGGCUGCGCGUUUUGCACUUGUUUCACCGUUUCCUUUGCGUGCGGCUCCGGAAAAAGAGACGCGGAAUAAAGUCGGGGUACCGUCGAAGAGCGCAACCUAGGCACCAGUGAACAUUCGCAGCAGCAGUGGCCUGCCACACCUCACCUGCACUUUACGUCUCUCGUGAUGCCUGGCGCCACCCCCAUCCCUCUCCCUUUUCUCGCCCUUUCCCAGCUGUCAGAUGUUCGAACACGCUCAAAAACAAAGGUGUUAGUCAAACACGCGAGCAGGCAAACUCAAAGGAAGCACUCUUCGUCCCCCCUUUACUCCGAGGCGCCCCGGCGUCGUACGAUAGCUUGCGUACCCCCUCCCUCCCUUCCACACGUACGCACACGCGUCUCCAGGUAGGGGGGUGGGGGCGCGCGAGCGGAACGGGCUAGGAGCGUCUACGCGUCGGUACUUUUUAGGUCACAGGAAACACACACACACGCGCACGUGGAUACAAGUCGGCGAACGUACAG
This 2148-nucleotide unclassified non-coding RNA is filed under the name Leishmania donovani. RNAcentral's name for it is "gene:unknown". The record is from RNAcentral. Lineage: Eukaryota; Euglenozoa; Kinetoplastea; Trypanosomatida; Trypanosomatidae.